RNAcentral lists this ribosomal RNA (434 nucleotides) under uncultured bacterium. RNAcentral describes it as "partial 16S ribosomal RNA". It matches the Rfam family "Bacterial small subunit ribosomal RNA", at positions 29 to 507 of the family's 1533-position model. The record is from RNAcentral.
AGCGAACGCUGGCGGCAGGCCUAACACAUGCAAGUCGAACGAACCUUCCGGGGUUCUUGGCGGACGUGUGAGGAACACCUAGGAACAUGCCCUUAAGUUCGGAAUAACUCAGGGAAACUUAUGCUAAUAACCAGUGUGCGCUUCGGGGGAAAGAUUUAUCGCCUUUAGAGCGGCCCGCGUCAGAUUCGCUGGUUGGUUGCGGUAAUGGCUCACCACAGCGGCGAUCAGUAGCUGGUCUGAGAGGAUGAUCCGCCACAUUGGGACUGUGACACGGCCCAAAACCCGACGGGAAGCAGCAGUGGGGAAUCUUGCGCAAUGGGCGAAAGCCUGACGCAGCCAUGCCGCGUGAAUGAUGAAGGUCUUAGGAUUGUAAAAUUCUUUCACCUGGGACGAUAAUGACGGUACCCGGAGAAGAAGCCCCGGCUAACUUCGUG